Molecule: ribosomal RNA, 460 nt
Filed under: uncultured bacterium
Lineage: Bacteria
Description: partial 16S ribosomal RNA
Rfam family: Bacterial small subunit ribosomal RNA
Source: RNAcentral
CCUACGGGAGGCAGCAGUGAGGAAUAUUGGUCAAUGGACGAGAGUCUGAACCAGCCACGUCGCGUGAAGGAUGACUGCCCUAUGGGUUGUAAACUUCUUUUAUAUGGGAGUAAAAUGUUCCACGUGUGGGAUUUUGUAUGUACCAUAUGAAUAAGGAUCGGCUAACUCCGUGCCAGCAGCCGCGGUAAUACGGAGGAUCCGAGCGUUAUCCGGUUUUAUUGGGUUUAAAGGGAGCGUAGGUGGAUUGUUAAGUCAGUUGUGAAAGUUUGCGGAUCAACCGUAAAAUUGCAGUUGAAACUGGCAGUCUUGAGUACAGUAGAGGUGGGCGGAAUGCGUGGUGUAGCGGUGAAAUGCUUAGAUAUCACGAAGAACUCCGAUUGCGAAGGCAGUUCACUGGACUGCAACUGACACUGAGGCUCGAAAGUGUGGGUAUCAAACAGGAUUAGAUACCCCUGUAGUC